RNAcentral lists this ribosomal RNA (506 nucleotides) under uncultured bacterium. RNAcentral describes it as "partial 16S ribosomal RNA". It matches the Rfam family "Bacterial small subunit ribosomal RNA", at positions 28 to 523 of the family's 1533-position model. The record is from RNAcentral.
GAUGAACGCUAGCUACAGGCUUAACACAUGCAAGUCGAGGGGUAACAAGAGGAAAGCUUGCUUUCCUUGUUGACGACCGGCGCACGGGUGAGUAACGCGUAUCCAACCUGCCUAUAACCAGGGAAUAACCUUGCGAAAGUAAGACUAAUACCCUAUGAUUUCCUUUGAUGACAUCAGAUUAGGAAUAAAGAUUUAUCGGUUAUAGAUGGGGAUGCGUCUGAUUAGCUUGUUGGCGGGGUAACGGCCCACCAAGGCAACGAUCAGUAGGGGUUCUGAGAGGAAGGUACCCCACAUUGGAACUGAGACGCGGUCCAAACUCCUACGGGAGGCAGCAGUGAGGAAUAUUGGUCAAUGGGCGGAAGCCUGAACCAGCCAAGUAGAGUGCAGGAUGACGGCCCUAUGGGUUGUAAACUGCUUUUAUACAGGAAUAAAGUUAGCCACGUGUGGUUAUUUGUAGGUACUGUAUGAAUAAGGACCGGCUAAUUCCGUGCCAGCCGCCGCCGUAA